This 486-nucleotide ribosomal RNA is filed under the name uncultured bacterium. RNAcentral's name for it is "partial 16S ribosomal RNA". It matches the Rfam family "Bacterial small subunit ribosomal RNA", at positions 28 to 507 of the family's 1533-position model. The record is from RNAcentral.
GACGAACGCUGGCGGCGUGCUUAACACAUGCAAGUCGAACGGGAUCCAAAGGCUUUUUGUUUUUGGUGAGAGUGGCGAACGGGUGAGUAACACGUGAGUAACCUGCCCCCUUCUUUUGGAUAACCGCAUGAAAGUGUGGCUAAUACAGGAUAUUCCAGGCUGGUCGCAUGAUUGGUUUGGGAAAUGGUUUGGUCUGGUGGGGGAUGGGCUCGCGGCCUAUCAGCUUGUUGGUGGGGUGAUGGCCUACCAAGGCGGUGACGGGUAGCCGGCCUGAGAGGGUGGGCGGGCACACUGGGACUGAGAUACGGCCCAGACUCCGACGGGAGGCAGCAGUGGGGGAUUUUGCACAAUGGGCGCAAGCCUGAUGCAGCGACGCCGCGUGAGGGAUGAAGGCCUUCGGGUUGUAAACCUCUUUCGCUGGGUUGAAAGGCCAUGCUUUGGGUGUGGUUGAUGUGAACUGGUAAAGAAGUACCGGCUAACUACGUG